This is a non-coding RNA of Pelobates cultripes (western spadefoot toad), 219 nucleotides long. The record is from the annotation of a GenBank genome assembly. NCBI's taxonomy places the organism in Eukaryota, Metazoa, Chordata, Amphibia, Anura, Pelobatidae.
UCGCUUGCAUGGAGUGCCUGAUGAAGUAAUUUCUGAUAGGGGAGUGCAGUUUACAUCUCAUUUUUGGAAAUAUUUUUGUUCUAUUCUAGGUAUUAAUGUAAAUCUGUCUUCAGCUUUUCAUCCACAAAGUAAUGGACAGACUGAGCGAACCAACCAGACUUUAGAACAAUAUUUGCGGUGCUAUAUUAGUUACCUGCAGGAUGACUGGCUGGAUUUUCU